ACUGGAUUCAGAAAAGCCUAGCAGAUUAGUAGAGCACAUGCCUGUGUAUGUCUGUACUUUGACAUGGAAAAUGAAUGGAGUCACGUGAAAACAACGACAAAAAAAAUUCUAAAAGCAUAUAUCUCACAGGAUUCAGAGUGGCUCAGGAUGUAUACAAAGUAAGCACCCUGGCUUCCU
Long non-coding RNA from Chinchilla lanigera (long-tailed chinchilla), 177 nucleotides. RefSeq lists it as uncharacterized. The record is from RefSeq and is a predicted model, not a curated record. The transcript is spliced from 3 exons. Lineage: Eukaryota; Metazoa; Chordata; Mammalia; Rodentia; Chinchillidae.